AUUUGGGCCAUUCGGAGUCAGAUACUCAUGGCAAGGGCAUUUUUUUGUAGUUGGUUUUGCACAGCGGUUCGAGGUAAGUGGCUUGUCUAACUUUGUGUGGGGGGACCUCUCCCCUUAAGAUAUAUUACUUGUUAUUUGAAAUGCCUUGUACACAGGUGACGAGCGUGUACUUAAGAUAAUUAUUGAAAAUCCAUUUUACUCA
Molecule: long non-coding RNA, 202 nt
Filed under: Nicotiana benthamiana
Lineage: Eukaryota; Viridiplantae; Streptophyta; Magnoliopsida; Solanales; Solanaceae
Description: long non-coding RNA (NBEN_LNC022624)
Source: RNAcentral